RNAcentral lists this ribosomal RNA (688 nucleotides) under uncultured Vibrio sp. RNAcentral's name for it is "bacterial SSU rRNA". It matches the Rfam family "Bacterial small subunit ribosomal RNA", at positions 1 to 670 of the family's 1533-position model. The record is from RNAcentral. Lineage: Bacteria; Pseudomonadati; Pseudomonadota; Gammaproteobacteria; Vibrionales; Vibrionaceae.
GCCCUAGAGUUUGAUCCUGGCUCAGAUUGAACGCUGGCGGCAGGCCUAACACAUGCAAGUCGAGCGGAAACGAGUUAUCUGAACCUUCGGGGAACGAUAACGGCGUCGAGCGGCGGACGGGUGAGUAAUGCCUAGGAAAUUGCCUUGAUGUGGGGGAUAACCAUUGGAAACGAUGGCUAAUACCGCAUAAUGCCUACGGGCCAAAGAGGGGGACCUUCGGGCCUCUCGCGUCAAGAUAUGCCUAGGUGGGAUUAGCUAGUUGGUGAGGUAAUGGCUCACCAAGGCGACGAUCCCUAGCUGGUCUGAGAGGAUGAUCAGCCACACUGGAACUGAGACACGGUCCAGACUCCUACGGGAGGCAGCAGUGGGGAAUAUUGCACAAUGGGCGAAAGCCUGAUGCAGCCAUGCCGCGUGUAUGAAGAAGGCCUUCGGGUUGUAAAGUACUUUCAGUUGUGAGGAAGGGGGUGUCGUUAAUAGCGGCAUCUCUUGACGUUAGCAACAGAAGAAGCACCGGCUAACUCCGUGCCAGCAGCCGCGGUAAUACGGAGGGUGCGAGCGUUAAUCGGAAUUACUGGGCGUAAAGCGCAUGCAGGUGGUUCAUUAAGUCAGAUGUGAAAGCCCGGGGCUCAACCUCGGAACUGCAUUUGAAACUGGUGAACUAGAGUACUGUAGAGGGGGGUAGAAUUUC